GGCUUAACACAUGCAAGUCGAGGGGCAGCAUGGUCUUAGCUUGCUAAGGCCGAUGGCGACCGGCGCACGGGUGAGUAACACGUAUCCAACCUGCCGUCUACUCUUGGACAGCCUUCUGAAAGGAAGAUUAAUACAAGAUGGCAUCAUGAGUCCGCAUGUUCACAUGAUUAAAGGUAUUCCGGUAGACGAUGGGGAUGCGUUCCAUUAGAUAGUAGGCGGGGUAACGGCCCACCUAGUCUUCGAUGGAUAGGGGUUCUGAGAGGAAGGUCCCCCACAUUGGAACUGAGACACGGUCCAAACUCCUACGGGAGGCAGCAGUGAGGAAUAUUGGUCAAUGGGCGAGAGCCUGAACCAGCCAAGUAGCGUGAAGGAUGACUGCCCUAUGGGUUGUAAACUUCUUUUAUAAAGGAAUAAAGUCGGGUAUGGAUACCCGUUUGCAUGUACUUUAUGAAUAAGGAUCGGCUAACUCCGUGCCAGCAGCCGCGGUAAUACGGAGGAUCCGAGCGUUAUCCGGAUUUAUUGGGUUUAAAGGGAGCGUAGAUGGAUGUUUAAGUCAGUUGUGAAAGUUUGCGGCUCAACCGUAAAAUUGCAGUUGAUACUGGAUAUCUUGAGUGCAGUUGAGGCAGGCGGAAUUCGUGGUGUAGCGGUGAAAUGCUUAGAUAUCACGAAGAACUCCGAUUGCGAAGGCAGCCUGCUAAGCUGCAACUGACAUUGAGGCUCGAAAGUGUGGGUAUCAAACAGGAUUAGAUACCCUGGUAGUCCACACGGUAAACGAUGAAUACUCGCUGUUUGCGAUAUACUGCAAGCGGCCAAGCGAAAGCGUUAAGUAUUCCACCUGGGGAGUACGCCGGCAACGGUGAAACUCAAAGGAAUUGACGGGGGCCCGCACAAGCGGAGGAACAUGUGGUUUAAUUCGAUGAUACGCGAGGAACCUUACCCGGGCUUAAAUUGCAGAUGAAUUACGGUGAAAGCCGUAAGCCGCAAGGCAUCUGUGAAGGUGCUGCAUGGUUGUCGUCAGCUCGUGCCGUGAGGUGUCGGCUUAAGUGCCAUAACGAGCGCAACCCUUGUUGUCAGUUACUAACAGGUUCCGCUGAGGACUCUGACAAGACUGCCAUCGUAAGAUGUGAGGAAGGUGGGGAUGACGUCAAAUCAGCACGGCCCUUACGUCCGGGGCUACACACGUGUUACAAUGGGGGGUACAGAGGGCCGCUACCACGCGAGUGGAUGCCAAUCCCCAAAACCUCUCUCAGUUCGGACUGGAGUCUGCAACCCGACUCCACGAAGCUGGAUUCGCUAGUAAUCGCGCAUCAGCCACGGCGCGGUGAAUACGUUCCCGGGCCUUGUACACACCGCCCGUCAAGCCAUGGGAGCCGGGGGUACCUGAAGUGCGUAACCGCGAGGAGCGCCCUAGGGUAAAACUGGUGACUGGGGCUAAAUC
RNAcentral lists this ribosomal RNA (1438 nucleotides) under uncultured organism. Its description in RNAcentral is "SSU rRNA". It matches the Rfam family "Bacterial small subunit ribosomal RNA". The record is from RNAcentral.